UAGCCGUAAACGAUACUCGCUAGGUGUCGGCCACGGUGCGACCGUUGUCGGUGCCGUAGGGAGCCGUGAAGCGAGCCACCUGGGAAGUACGGCCGCAAGGCUGAAACUUAAAGGAAUUGGCGGGGGAGCACAACAACGGGUGGAGCUUGCGGUUUAAUUGGAUUCAACGCCGGAAAUCUUACCGGGACCGACAGCAACAUGAAGGCCAAGCUGAAGACUUUGCCGGAUUAGCUGAGAGGUGGUGCAUGGCGUAGUCGUGU
RNAcentral lists this ribosomal RNA (260 nucleotides) under uncultured archaeon. RNAcentral's name for it is "partial 16S ribosomal RNA". It matches the Rfam family "Archaeal small subunit ribosomal RNA", at positions 748 to 1009 of the family's 1478-position model. The record is from RNAcentral.